ACGCUGGCGGCACGCCUAACACAUGCAAGUCGAACGAAGUAGCAAUACUUAGUGGCAGACGGGUGAGUAACAUGUAGGUAUCUGCCCUUUGGCCUGGAAUAACACGAGGAAACUUGUGCUAAUACCGGAUAAGUCUUUACAGAGAAAGCUUUAUGCACCAUUGGAUGAGCCUGCACUUGAUUAGUUUGUUGGUGGGGUAAUGGCCUACCAAGACUGUGAUCAAUAGCUGAUUUGAGAGGAUGAUCAGCCACAUUGGGACUGAGACACGGCCCAAAUUCCUACGGGAGGCAGCAGUGGGGAAUCUUGCACAAUGGAGGAAACUCUGAUGCAGCGAUGCCGCGUGAGUGAAGAAGGCCUUUGGGUUGUAAAGCUCUUUCGUCGGGGAAGAAAAUGACUGUACCCGAAUAAGAAGGUCCGGCUAACUUCGUGCCAGCAGCCGCGGUAAUACGAAGGGACCUAGCGUAGUUCGGAAUUACUGGGCUUAAAGAGUUCGUAGGUGGUUGAAAAAGUUAGUGGUGAAAUCCCAGAGCUUAACUCUGGAACUGCCAUUAAAACUUUUUAGCUAGAGUAUGAUAGAGGAAAGCAGAAUUUCUAGUGUAGAGGUGAAAUUCGUAGAUAUUAGAAAGAAUACCAAUUGCGAAGGCAGCUUUCUGGAUCAUUACUGACACUGAGGAACGAAAGCAUGGGUAGCGAAGAGGAUUAGAUACCCUCGUAGUCCAUGCCGUAAACGAUGUGUGUUAGACGUUGGAAAUUUAUUUUCAGUGUCGCAGCGAAAGCGAUAAACACACCGCCUGGGGAGUACGACCGCAAGGUUAAAACUCAAAUGAAUUGACGGGGACCCGCACAAGUAGUGGAGCAUGUGGUUUAAUUCGAAGAUACGCGCAGAACCUUACCAACACUUGACAUGUUCGUCGCGACUCUAAGAGAUUAGAGUUUUCGGUUCGGCCGGACGAAACACAGGUGCUGCAUGGCUGUCGUCAGCUCGUGUCGUGAGAUGUUGGGUUAAGUCCCGCAACGAGCGCAACCCUCACUUUUAGUUGCCAUCAUUAAGUUGGGCACUCUGAAAGAACUGCCAGUGAUAAGCUGGAGGAAGGUGGGGAUGACGUCAAGUCCUCAUGGCCCUUACGUGUUGGGCUACACACGUGCUACAAUGGUAUCUACAACAGGAAGCAAGACUGCGAAGUUAAGCAAAUCCCUAAAAGAUACCUCAGUUCGGAUUGCACUCUGCAACUCGAGUGCAUGAAGCUGGAAUUACUAGUAAUCGUGGAUCAGCGUGCCACGGUGAAUGCGUUCCCGGGUCUUGUACUCACCGCCCGUCA
Molecule: ribosomal RNA, 1319 nt
Filed under: uncultured Alphaproteobacteria bacterium
Lineage: Bacteria; Pseudomonadati; Pseudomonadota; Alphaproteobacteria
Description: uncultured alpha proteobacterium 16S ribosomal RNA
Rfam family: Bacterial small subunit ribosomal RNA
Source: RNAcentral